Molecule: ribosomal RNA, 585 nt
Filed under: Staphylococcus aureus
Lineage: Bacteria; Bacillati; Bacillota; Bacilli; Caryophanales; Staphylococcaceae
Description: bacterial SSU rRNA
Rfam family: Bacterial small subunit ribosomal RNA
Source: RNAcentral
AAAAGUGAAAGACGGUCUUGCUGUCACUUAUAGAUGGAUCCGCGCUGCAUUAGCUAGUUGGUAAGGUAACGGCUUACCAAGGCAACGAUGCAUAGCCGACCUGAGAGGGUGAUCGGCCACACUGGAACUGAGACACGGUCCAGACUCCUACGGGAGGCAGCAGUAGGGAAUCUUCCGCAAUGGGCGAAAGCCUGACGGAGCAACGCCGCGUGAGUGAUGAAGGUCUUCGGAUCGUAAAACUCUGUUAUUAGGGAAGAACAUAUGUGUAAGUAACUGUGCACAUCUUGACGGUACCUAAUCAGAAAGCCACGGCUAACUACGUGCCAGCAGCCGCGGUAAUACGUAGGUGGCAAGCGUUAUCCGGAAUUAUUGGGCGUAAAGCGCGCGUAGGCGGUUUUUUAAGUCUGAUGUGAAAGCCCACGGCUCAACCGUGGAGGGUCAUUGGAAACUGGAAAACUUGAGUGCAGAAGAGGAAAGUGGAAUUCCAUGUGUAGCGGUGAAAUGCGCAGAGAUAUGGAGGAACACCAGUGGCGAAGGCGACUUUCUGGUCUGUAACUGACGCUGAUGUGCGAAAGCGUGGGGAUC